Molecule: small nuclear RNA, 286 nt
Filed under: Peromyscus maniculatus bairdii (prairie deer mouse)
Lineage: Eukaryota; Metazoa; Chordata; Mammalia; Rodentia; Cricetidae
Description: 7SK RNA (ENSPEMG00000003093.2)
Rfam family: 7SK RNA
About the family: 7SK was discovered as an abundant small nuclear RNA in the mid-70s but a possible function has only recently been suggested. Two independent studies have found that 7SK RNA binds the CDK9/cyclin T complex (known as elongation factor P-TEFb).
Source: RNAcentral
GGUUGUGAGGCCAAUCUUGCUGUAAUGUCUGUCUGCCAUUGAUCACCCUCUCUGAUCUUGCUGGACAGUAAAGUACCCACUAUCAUGCCAUGUGUAUCCUUCCCAAAGCUGUGUACUUGGUCAUAGAGGAUCGUCUUCCAUAGAGCUGGACUGGGCUUAGGUCAAGGGUAGAGUAGCUGAACUCCCCAGCUAGAGCCCAAACAGGCUCUUACAGGCCAUAUACAAGAACAGCAGCAGAUGCUUUUUAAAGAACUCCAAAGGUUAGUGCACAAAUAAAUAUUAGUUG